CCUGCAUCUUGGCUCUUCCUCAUUUUCUCUCAGCCAGGAAAGGAGAGGAAAUAAAUCAUGGAAGAGCAAGGUUUCGACAGUCUCUCCUUGAGCCAGAAUCUGCCGCUGAGCCAGGAUUCCUUUAGACAGCUGUGGGAGAGUGUAGCCACACCCUCCAUCUCCACCAUACCAACAGCGACUGAUGGGGAUAUUGGAUCAUGGAGGACGGACGGUAAUGCUUAUAUGCUGCCGAGUGACUCUCUGCUGCCUGACGAGUUUGAUGAGAAACUGUUUGACAGUUUCACAGAGAUUUCCGCUACAGACAGUGUUACUCCCCCGUCCUCCACCGUCCCGGUUACAACUGAUUACCCAGGGGAGAAUGGCCUCCAGCUUCGCUUUCAGAAGUCUGGCACAGCAAAGUCCGUCACCUCCACUUUUUCGGAGCUUCUGAACAAGCUGUAUUGCCAGCUGGCAAAAACCACUCCAAUUGAAAUACACGUCACCAAGGAGCCUCCUGCGGGUGCUGUCCUGAGGGCCACAGCGGUCUACAAGAAGACAGAGCACGUAGCGGAUGUGGUCCGAAGGUGUCCACACCACCAGAACGAAGACACCGCUGAGCAUCGCAGCCAUUUGAUCCGAGUGGAGGGAAGCCAGAGAGCUUUGUAUUUUGAAGAUCCACACACAAAGAGGCAAAGUGUGACUGUCCCGUACGAGCCUCCACAGUUGGGGUCGGAGAUGACGACUAUCUUGCUGAGCUUUAUGUGCAAUAGUUCCUGCAUGGGGGGCAUGAACCGAAGACCUAUACUCACCAUCCUAACCCUCGAGACUCCAGAGGGUCUUGUUCUGGGCCGGAGGUGCUUCGAGGUACGUGUCUGUGCAUGUCCAGGCAGGGACCGCAAAACUGAGGAGGAUAAUAGCGCCAAGUUGCAGAACGGGACUAAACAAACAAAGAAACGGAAGAGCGCUCCACCUCCUGACACAUCUUUAAAGAAGACCAAGUCUGCCUCCAGUGCAGAGGAGGAGGACAAGGAAGUGUUUACUUUGCGUGUUCAUGGUCGCGAACGCUACGAAAUGUUAAAGAAAAUCAACGAUGGUCUGGAGUUGCUGGACAAAGAGAGCAAAAGCAAGACCAAGGUGUCUGUGAAACACGAGCUUCCUCUGCCAUCAAGCGGGAAGAGACUCCUGCAAAGAGGAGACCGAAGCGACAGUGAUUAAGAAGCUCGUCGCUUUGAGCUUCCAUUAGAAAACAACUUUCGUCUCUUUCUCCCUCCAAGCCAGCGGGUUUAUUUCAGGAUCUGUCUGAAAAGUUGCCUACCCCAGAUUUAAUUACUCAAGAAGCUGUUCGGUCAGAUUUCUUGUCACACGUGUGAUUCCAACAGAUCAUAAUUGUAUGAGUCGCUGCCGUUGGGUUUGAAAAGGUGCAAACUUGUAAAACUUGAAUGGAUAUUUUACCUCCAUUAAGGUUGCUGUAUUACUGUACCACAGCCCAUGCAAAUUAUAGCAUUUACAUUCUGUCAAACUCUGUCUGUGAGGAGGAAGUUCUGCAACCCUCUUACUGGUUCUGCUGUCAAACCAGAUGUAAAAAUGAUUUAAGGCCAGAUUAAUGAAUGCACAGGCUUGUCUGCAUGUCAAUUUGUUUUUUCUCUGUUUAUUUAGGUUUGUUUUCAUCACUAACAGCUGUGAAUACAUCUUAGCCCUGUUAAUUUCCUUGGAUCUGUAUAUUCAGGCCUCCUCUUGGAUGGUGAUGAUUGUGCUCGCAGGGAACAUGUUAUAGUCACGAUUUCUGUUAAAAUUAACAGUAGAUUUGAAAGAUGAAGGGCUGGCUGGAUCACCCACAAAAACUAAUCAACUUUUAGUAUUUGUAACUUUUUUAUAUAGCAGAGAGCAGGAAUUAUUGGUAGGUGGGGGAAAAAAAAAUAGGAGUGUCAUGAAAACACAGGAACGGUACACACAGGGACAUUACAACAAGGGAACAAAAAAAAGCCACUUUUUUUUUGUUUCCAGUUUUGCCUCCCAGCCGCAGACUGUGUGCUAUUUCACAAUUAACCAGCACUUCAGUGUGAUGCGACUAAUCAGUCAGUAAAACCACUUUUUUACACUGCCAAAAAAUAUAAAAGGCAUUUCUUUGUUUUAUUUCUGUAUCUUUUAUGGUUUAUUUUGGGAACAUACUUUUUUAUAAGAGGUUGAUCUUUCUAUAUUUUUCAUUGUUGUUUUUUUUCAUGGCUUUUUUUGUACUAAUUUGCGUUUUGUUACUCCAAGCUUGAAGCCAAAAUAAAUGCAUAAUGUUAAA
RNA transcript from Micropterus salmoides (largemouth bass), 2269 nucleotides. It is a transcript of the gene named tumor protein p53, with no coding region annotated. The record is from RefSeq and is a predicted model, not a curated record. The transcript has 11 exons. Lineage: Eukaryota; Metazoa; Chordata; Actinopteri; Centrarchiformes; Centrarchidae.